RNAcentral lists this ribosomal RNA (465 nucleotides) under uncultured bacterium. Its description in RNAcentral is "bacterial SSU rRNA". It matches the Rfam family "Bacterial small subunit ribosomal RNA", at positions 338 to 795 of the family's 1533-position model. The record is from RNAcentral.
CCUACGGGGGGCAGCAGUGGGGAAUUUUGGACAAUGGGCGAAAGCCUGAUCCAGCAAUGCCGCGUGCAGGAAGAAGGCCUUCGGGUUGUAAACUGCUUUUGUACGGAACGAAACGGUCUGCUUUAAUACAGUGGGCUAAUGACGGUACCGUAAGAAUAAGCACCGGCUAACUACGUGCCAGCAGCCGCGGUAAUACGUAGGGUGCGAGCGUUAAUCGGAAUUACUGGGCGUAAAGCGUGCGCAGGCGGUUAUGUAAGACAGUUGUGAAAUCCCCGGGCUCAACCUGGGAAUUGCAUCUGUGACUGCAUAGCUAGAGUACGGUAGAGGGGGAUGGAAUUCCGCGUGUAGCAGUGAAAUGCGUAGAUAUGCGGAGGAACACCGAUGGCGAAGGCAAUCCCCUGGACCUGUACUGACGCUCAUGCACGAAAGCGUGGGGAGCAAACAGGAUUAGAUACCCGAGUAGUC